GUGAGGAAUUUUCCGCAAUGGGCGAAAGCCUGACGGAGCAAUGCCGCGUGAAGGAUGAAGGUCUAUGGGUUGUAAACUUCUUUUCUCAGAAAAGAAUUAUGACGGUAUCUGAGGAAUAAGCAUCGGCUAACUCUGUGCCAGCAGCCGCGGUAAGACAGAGGAUGCAAGCGUUAUCCGGAAUGAUUGGGCGUAAAGCGUCUGUAGGUUGUUUAAAAAGUAUUCUGUCAAAGAUUAGGGCUUAACCCUAGAUAGGCAGAAUAAACUUUUAAGCUAGAGUUUGGUAGAGGCAGAGGGAAUUCCCGGUGGAGCGGUGAAAUGCGUAGAUAUCGGGAGGAACACCAAAGGCGAAGGCACUCUGCUGGGCCAAUACUAACACUGAGAGACGAAAGCGAGGGGAGCAAAUGGGAUUAGAUACCCCGGUAGUCC
RNAcentral lists this ribosomal RNA (426 nucleotides) under uncultured bacterium. Its description in RNAcentral is "partial 16S ribosomal RNA". It matches the Rfam family "Bacterial small subunit ribosomal RNA", at positions 354 to 796 of the family's 1533-position model. The record is from RNAcentral.